CCGGCCGAUGAAAAAGGCUGCUGACACGUGGAGAGAGACAGAGCCACUGCCUUUAUUGGAACAAAACCCUAAAACAGAUCAUGUAUGCCAGGGCUAUGUGGGUGGAGCAUGGCAAGGAAGUGGAGGGAACUGCCCCAGACAACUGGAUUGAUGUUGACAAGAAAACUAUUAGAUGGCCAAAAAAAGGGGAAAAGGCAGCUUUCCUCAAUAAACACCCCCCUCAGGAUGACUGGAUGACAUUCACCUUGGUGAAGCGUAAAAUGACUUCCGUAAACAUUUGUGAAUGCGAUGAUUAUGACAUGACAAGCUAUGUCGAGGAGGAAGAGCAGGAAAAUGAGGAAGUAAGAGGAAGGAG
Molecule: long non-coding RNA, 355 nt
Organism: Perca flavescens (yellow perch)
Lineage: Eukaryota; Metazoa; Chordata; Actinopteri; Perciformes; Percidae
Exons: 3
Source: RefSeq, a predicted model, not a curated record